Molecule: ribosomal RNA, 700 nt
Filed under: uncultured Planctomycetales bacterium
Lineage: Bacteria; Pseudomonadati; Planctomycetota; Planctomycetia; Planctomycetales
Description: bacterial SSU rRNA
Rfam family: Bacterial small subunit ribosomal RNA
Source: RNAcentral
UAGCGGUGAAAUGCGUAGAUAUCAAGAGGAACGCCAGUGGUGAAAACGGUGCACUGGGCUUGACCUGACGCUGAGACACGAAAGCGUGGGGAGCGAACGGGAUUAGAUACCCCGGUAGUCCACGCUGUAAACGAUGUCUACUAGGUUGUGGUAGUUCUGACACUUUCACGGCCGAAGCAAAAGUGGUAAGUAGACCGCCUGGGGAGUACGGUCGCAAGGCUAAAACUCAAAGGAAUUGACGGGGGCUCACACAAGCGGUGGAGCAUGUGGAUCAAUUCGAAGCAACGCGCAGAACCUUACCUGGGUUUGACAUGCAAGGAUGUCUUCUGCGAAAGUGGUAAGAUUGCCCUACGGGGUGAAACUUGUACAGGUGCUGCAUGGCUGUCGUCAGCUCGUGUCGUGAGACGUCGGGUUAAGUCCCUUAACGAGCAAAACCCUUGCCGUUAGUUACCAGCGGGUAAAGCCGGGGACUCUAACGGGACUGCCGGUGGUAAACCGGAGGAAGGUGGGGAUGACGUCAAGUCAUCAUGGCCUUUAUGCCCAGGGCGUCACACGUGCUACAAUGGCAACUACAAAGCGACGCGAGACCGCGAGGUGGAGCAAAUCGCAAAAAAGUUGUCUCAGUCCGGAUUGCAGGCUGGCAAUUCGCCUGCAUGAAGUCGGAAUCGCGUAGUAAUCGCGUAUCAGCCAUGACGCGGUG